ACACUCUGGUUUCUCUACAGAUUGAAUCAGUUGCCUUUUACUAAACGUUUCCGAGGAGAGAAACAAGUCUGAGUUCUUAACUAAUUUUUUGAGGCUUUGCUUUGUCAGGGAU
This is a small nuclear RNA of Fukomys damarensis (Damara mole-rat), 112 nucleotides long. Its record names the gene U5. It matches the Rfam family "U5 spliceosomal RNA". From Rfam's summary of the family: U5 RNA is a component of both types of known spliceosome. The precise function of this molecule is unknown, though it is known that the 5' loop is required for splice site selection and p220 binding, and that both the 3' stem-loop and the Sm site are important for Sm protein binding and cap methylation. The record is from Ensembl. Lineage: Eukaryota; Metazoa; Chordata; Mammalia; Rodentia; Bathyergidae.